This 919-nucleotide long non-coding RNA is filed under the name Linum usitatissimum (flax). Its description in RNAcentral is "long non-coding RNA (LUSI_LNC002216)". Lineage: Eukaryota; Viridiplantae; Streptophyta; Magnoliopsida; Malpighiales; Linaceae. The record is from RNAcentral.
AAAGAUUCUAUACCAUGUAUUGCCCAGAUCUUGGACUCAACAUAUGCUUCCAGUUCAACUACUUAUCUUGGAGAAUUAACUAUCUGAUGUAUUUCUAACAGGUGAUUCCAUUUCUCACUAAUCUGUGUUUGUCCUGUUCCAUUUAGUCUUGUUCUGUAAUGUUCAUACCAUUCACCCAGAUAUUCAUAAUCCAGGUGCUUCAGAUUCGGAAAUCAUCUUGUGCAUAAGCUUUUCUACCUGCUGAGCCGUUAAUGGUUGGUAACAUAUGAAGAAAUGCUUUGCUGGAAUAGGUUGAAAAUGGAACUGUGAUUGGAAACUGGACUGAACACUUUUAGCUAGUUCUCCUAGAAAGUGACCAAGUUGUUCCCUCCAAGUAAACCAAACGAAGCAUACAGGCAGGAAGCGAAAAGUGCUGAAGAUAUGAAAGGUAAAGUAUGAAUGCUCAUAACCUUUAUGAACUGUAAAGCGUUUCUCUCUUAACAUACUUCUAAUGAUCAGAAAAGUUUUAUAUAGCCUUGGAGGAAUUGCAGAAGCUGAAAAGGGACAGUAGGGACCAGAAACCAUAAGCAUAUUUGGGUGAAAAGAAAGUAGGGUGGGAGAGAGACCCAUACCAGAAUAUUAAUUGAUAUACAUAUUUAAGGCAGAACUGUGGGAAUUCAGUUUCUGCUCUUACAUGGCAUCCAUCAACAGAAAAGCUCAUCACAUUUACCUCUCAUUGUCCCCCCUUACUAACCCUUUCAAUUUAAUGACUUCUAAUCUCACAGAAUUUCCUCUUCCUAUCCUACAGCUCACAAUGCAGCAAGUACUACAAAAAGUAUCUCUCUUCUGUACAACCCUCCUCUUUGCCUUGUACGACAUCUGAUCAAAGCCUCUGGAAAGACCAGCAGAGAGAGAGAGAGAGAGAGAGAGAGAGAGAGAG